UACGAAGGGGGCUAGCGUUGUUCGGAUUUACUGGGCGUAAAGCGCACGUAGGCGGAUUUUUAAGUCAGGGGUGAAAUCCCGAGGCUCAACCUCGGCACUGCCUUUGAUACUGGAAGUCUUGAGUUCGGAAGAGGUGAGUGGAAUUGUGAGUGUAGAGGUGAAAUUCGUAGAUAUGCACAAGAACACCGGUGGCGAAGGCGGCUCACUGGUUCGAAACUGACGCUGAGGUGCGAAAGCGUGGGGAGCAAACAGG
Molecule: ribosomal RNA, 253 nt
Filed under: uncultured bacterium
Lineage: Bacteria
Description: partial 16S ribosomal RNA
Rfam family: Bacterial small subunit ribosomal RNA
Source: RNAcentral